This 495-nucleotide ribosomal RNA is filed under the name Philautus mjobergi (Murud bubble-nest frog). Its description in RNAcentral is "partial 16S ribosomal RNA". It matches the Rfam family "Bacterial large subunit ribosomal RNA", at positions 1854 to 2573 of the family's 2925-position model. Lineage: Eukaryota; Metazoa; Chordata; Amphibia; Anura; Rhacophoridae. The record is from RNAcentral.
CCAGCCUGCCCGGUGAUACAUUCAACGGCCACGGUACCCUAACCGUGCAAAGGUAGCAUAAUCACUCGUUCUUUAAAUAGGGACUAGUAUCAACGGCAUCACGAGGGUCGCACCGUCUCCUUUUUCUAAUCAGUGAAACUGAUCUCCCCAUGAAGAAGUGGGGAUAAAACUAUAAGACGAGAAGACCCCAUGGAGCUUUAGACUUCCAACAACCACAUUACACAUUUCCCCACAACAUAAAGUUAUGUCCACCAGUCUUAGGUUGGGGCGACCGCGGAGUAAAAAACAACCUCCAUGAUGAAAAUUAAAUCUUAUCUAUGAGUUACUACUCUAAGAAUUAGAAUACUAACAUACAAUGACCCGAUAAACGACCAACGAACCAAGUUACCCUGGGGAUAACAGCGCAAUCUACUUCGAGAGCUCAUAUCGACAAGUAGGCUUACGACCUCGAUGUUGGAUCAGGGUACCCCAGUGGUGCAGCCGCUACUAACGGUU